Molecule: ribosomal RNA, 437 nt
Filed under: uncultured bacterium
Lineage: Bacteria
Description: bacterial SSU rRNA
Rfam family: Bacterial small subunit ribosomal RNA
Source: RNAcentral
GAUGAACGCUGGCGGCGUGCUUAACACAUGCAAGUCGAACGGUGAAAGAGGAGCUUGCUCCUCUGGAUCAGUGGCGAACGGGUGAGUAACACGUGAGUAACCUGCCCUUGACUCUGGGAUAAGCACUGGAAACGGUGUCUAAUACCGGAUACGAGCUUCAGCCGCAUGGCUAGGAGCUGGAAAGAAUUUCGGUCAAGGAUGGACUCGCGGCCUAUCAGCUAGUUGGUGAGGUAACGGCCCACCAAGGCGACGACGGGUAGCCGGCCUGAGAGGGUGACCGGCCACACUGGGACUGAGACACGGCCCAGACUCCUACGGGAGGCAGCAGUGGGGAAUAUUGCACAAUGGGCGCAAGCCUGAUGCAGCAACGCCGCGUGAGGGACGACGGCCUUCGGGUUGUAAACCUCUUUUAGUAGGGAAGAAGCGAAAGUGACGGU